CCUACGGGAGGCAGCAGUGAGGAAUAUUGGUCAAUGGGCGCGAGCCUGAACCAGCCAAGUCGCGUGAGGGAAGACGGUCCUAUGGAUUGUAAACUUCUUUUGUCGGGGAGCAAAAGACGCCACGCGUGGCGUUCCGAGAGUACCCGAAGAAAAAGCAUCGGCUAACUCCGUGCCAGCAGCCGCGGUAAUACGGAGGAUGCGAGCGUUAUCCGGAUUUAUUGGGUUUAAAGGGUGCGCAGGCGGAAGAUCAAGUCAGCGGUAAAAUUGAGGGGCUCAACCUCUUCGAGCAGUUGAAACUGGUGUUCUUGAGUGAGUGAGAGGUAUGCGGAAUGCGUGGUGUAGCGGUGAAAUGCAUAGAUAUCACGAAGAACUCCGAUUGCGAAGGCAGCAUACCGGCGCUCAACUGACGCUGAUGCACGAAAGUGUGGGUAUCGAACAGGAUUAGAUACCCCUGUAGUC
This 459-nucleotide ribosomal RNA is filed under the name uncultured bacterium. RNAcentral's name for it is "partial 16S ribosomal RNA". It matches the Rfam family "Bacterial small subunit ribosomal RNA", at positions 338 to 795 of the family's 1533-position model. The record is from RNAcentral.